RNAcentral lists this small RNA (843 nucleotides) under Erioscyphella abnormis. RNAcentral describes it as "partial contains 18S rRNA, ITS1, 5.8S rRNA, ITS2, 28S rRNA". The stretch from base 530 to 683 matches the Rfam family "5.8S ribosomal RNA". The record is from RNAcentral. Lineage: Eukaryota; Fungi; Ascomycota; Leotiomycetes; Helotiales; Lachnaceae.
GUAUCCUUCCCGGAACUUUCGGAAGCCUUUGUAGCCUGAAAAGGUCCCACGACUAUAAAUAUAGGGUGCAAGUAGCCUAGAGCUGCAACAUAAUCGAAUUGCGGGGAUAUCCUAAAGCCUAACGGUACCAACUCUCCGGGGAAACUCGGGGAGGGCCUGUGCUAGACGUACAGGGUGGUCAUAACCCGUAGGAUACUACAAUGGAUGAUCUGCAGCGGAGUCCCUCCCGGCGGAAGCCAUGGGAAACGUUCACAGACUAAGUGAUUGUGGGUAGGGCGUGCCCCCUGCUUAAGAUAUAGUCGGCUCUCAGUGGAAACGCUGAGAAUUAUAGCGUUCCGUAGGUGAACCUGCGGAAGGAUCAUUACAGAGUUCCAUGCCCUUCGGGGUAGACCUCCCACCCUUGUGUAUUAUAACAAAUUGUUGCCUUGGCGGGCUGCGGCUCUGCUGCCCGGGACUCGUCCCGGUAUGCCCGCCGAAGGACCCCUAAACUCUGUUUAUUAGUGUCGUCUGAGUACUAUAUAAUAGUUAAAACUUUCAACAACGGAUCUCUUGGUUCUGGCAUCGAUGAAGAACGCAGCGAAAUGCGAUAAGUAAUGUGAAUUGCAGAAUUCAGUGAAUCAUCGAAUCUUUGAACGCACAUUGCGCCCCUUGGUAUUCCGGGGGGCAUGCCUGUUCGAGCGUCAUUAUGACCAAUCUAGCCUGGCUAGGUAUUGGGCUUCGCGGUUCCGCGGGCCUUAAAACCAGUGGCGGUGCUCUCAGGCUCUACGCGUAGUAACUUUCUCGCUUUGGAGCCCUGGGGGAUGCUUGCCAUCAACCUCAACUUUCUUAGGUGACCUCGGAUCA